This 491-nucleotide ribosomal RNA is filed under the name uncultured bacterium. Its description in RNAcentral is "partial 16S ribosomal RNA". It matches the Rfam family "Bacterial small subunit ribosomal RNA", at positions 29 to 506 of the family's 1533-position model. The record is from RNAcentral.
AGUGAACGCUGGCGGUAGGCCUAACACAUGCAAGUCGAACGGCAGCACAGUAAGAGCUUGCUCUUACGGGUGGCGAGUGGCGGACGGGUGAGGAAUACAUCGGAAUCUACUUUUUCGUGGGGGAUAACGUAGGGAAACUUACGCUAAUACCGCAUACGACCUACGGGUGAAAGCAGGGGAUCUUCGGACCUUGCGCGAUUGAAUGGGCCGAUGUCGGAUUAGCUAGUUGGCGGGGUAAAGGCCCACCAAGGCGACGAUCCGUAGCUGGUCUGAGAGGAUGAUCAGCCACACUGGAACUGAGACACGGUCCAGACUCCUACGGGAGGCAGCAGUGGGGAAUAUUGGACAAUGGGCGCAAGCCUGAUCCAGCCAUACCGCGUGGGUGAAGAAGGCCUUCGGGUUGUAAAGCCCUUUUGUUGGGAAAGAAAAGCAGCAGGUUAAUACCCCGCUGUUCUGACGGUACCCAAAGAAGAAGCACCGGCUAACUUCGU